GGUUUCGUAACUCAGCUGGUAGAGCGUGCGCUGUACAAAACGCGUAGGCGGUGUCCACGCUUGGGUUCGAAUCCCAUCGAAACUG
Molecule: transfer RNA, 85 nt
Filed under: Echinostoma caproni
Lineage: Eukaryota; Metazoa; Platyhelminthes; Trematoda; Plagiorchiida; Echinostomatidae
Rfam family: tRNA
About the family: Transfer RNA (tRNA) molecules are approximately 80 nucleotides in length. Their secondary structure includes four short double-helical elements and three loops (D, anti-codon, and T loops).
Source: Rfam by way of RNAcentral